AUCAUGGCCCAAAGCUGACCAAGAAGCAGCUUGCCCAUGGAGCAUUGCCUACCUAAAAUUACCAACCAAGUCAUCCGACUCCUUUAUUACGAAGCCAGAAAGAAAGGAACAAAAGCAUCGAUCCAUUGUAUGUCUUGUACAGGACAGAUUAUCAGCUUCCACAACAACUUGUUAUAAUAAUAUUGAGGAACUUGCGGGUAAAAAAUUGCAUUAAAUUACUGGAGUAACCUGGACUGGAGUAACCUGUAUGUUGUUCGAAUAUGGAAAGUAGAUGUCCCAUAUAUCAUUCCAACUUAUGACAUUCAUAUGAACCACUACCCAGGCAUAAACGAAAAAGUUUACCAAUUAGGCCCAGGGCAGUAAAAUCCUGCAUGUAAAAAUCAGGUGCAAGUACACUUACAUAACUAUUAUUACAAUUUUUUCCAAAUUUCAAUUUUCCUGAUAAAA
This is a non-coding RNA of Paramuricea clavata, 447 nucleotides long. Lineage: Eukaryota; Metazoa; Cnidaria; Anthozoa; Malacalcyonacea; Plexauridae. The record is from the annotation of a GenBank genome assembly.